This 2941-nucleotide ribosomal RNA is filed under the name Triticum aestivum (bread wheat). RNAcentral describes it as "partial small subunit ribosomal RNA". The record is from RNAcentral. Lineage: Eukaryota; Viridiplantae; Streptophyta; Magnoliopsida; Poales; Poaceae.
CAGUCUCUUUUUUCUUCUAGAUAGACGACGCCCACCAGCUCCACCCUCCGGUCUUUUCUCUCCUUCCCUCUAGCUCGCAGCCGCCGCGCGUGACUCCAGAUCUCCCGCGGCGCGACCAUGGCGGCGGAAGGCAAGGUCCCGACGCUGGCCGAGGAAUAUUCACUCCCACCCAAGGAGGUCUCUGUGGAAAAAUCUGCUACGAGCACUGUGGCCGAAGUUGUUCCUCAGAAGGAUACUGAAACCUCACCAGCUGAUGAGACCGCUGCUGCUGUUGAGGAAAAAAGUGAAACUCCUGAGGUGAAAGAGCCAGAAGCGGAAGAAACCGUUCCUGCUGCAGAGGAAAGCGAUGAGGCUCCUGAGGAAACUGAAGAGAAACCAGAAAUUGUGAUUGAGACUGCUCCAGCAGAUUUUCGUUUCCCCACAACAAAUCAAACAAGACAUUGCUUCACGCGCUAUGUUGAAUACCAUAGGUGCGUAGCUGCAAAAGGAGAUGAUGCUCCUGAGUGUGAAAAGUUUGCAAAGUACUAUCGAUCACUAUGCCCAAGUGAAUGGGUUGAACGUUGGAACGAGCAACGGGAGAAUGGCACAUUCCCUGGACCCCUGUAAGCUUCAGUGGCGCUGGAAGGACAAACAUACCAUCAUCCCCACCUAUUCUCCCUGGUGACUGGACAAAGUUACUUUCUGCCGAGAAUUCGUCACCUUCCUUUCCUUUUUGAGGACUACUUACAAAUAAGUUUUUGACUUGAUGUAAGCUGAAGGUGUUGCCCAUCAGUUUCUCCCAACGAUCAUUCACUGGAUUUUAUACAACAUCCACCUUUGGAAUUUGACUGAACUUGCUGUUUUGCGCGGCACGGUUCAAGACGGUCAUUUUGGUUGCACAGGAAAUUUCGAAACCGCGUGGAAUAAAAUUAGCAACCUAGUUCUAGCAGUGCCAAUGUUUCAGAAACCCAUUUCAUUUCUACCGUCUUCUAAGCAGUACAUUUUAUUUGGUUAUAUAGCUUAUAGGGCAUAUAAUCUGCAUAAAGGAGGCAAUGACCUGCUUCUUAAUUCACAAGGCAUUGUGCGAACCUGAAAUUUGGUGUGGUUACUAUUGAUCAGUCUUUCUUGUGCUGGAAUGUGAAAAGUAGCUCUCUACGCUGGCCUAUUGAAGCACAUGCUGCUGAAAAGUAGACUUGGAGUUAGCUCUACUAGGAGGGGGUAUGUUUGAAUGGUGUCCAAUACUUCUGUAGUCAUGGUCAGGUUGGUGUUUGUCUAGAUGGUUGCCAAUAUUUUGGUCUGCCAAUGACAAUUUGGCAACUCAACUUCAUUUUUCUAGCCAAUGUUAGUCAAGCCAUGGGUAAAUAUAAGCCUGACCAAAAUAUUGGCUAGCCAAAUUUUUAUUAGAGCUAUCUUGGGCUCAAACUAAACACCCAUGUGACAUGAGUAGAUGAACGCCCUGAGUGGGUUAGCCAAAUAUUGACUUGAUCAAUACAAUCGGACAACCUCUUGCAUUGAUAAUGAACGGUCACAUUGUUGAGUAGUACUCUUCAGUUAUCGAACAAUGUCAUUUGACUUGUACCAACCGAGGUAUCAAGCUUCAGUUAUCGAACAAUGUCAUUUGACUUGUACCAACCGAGGUAUCAAGCGAUCCAUUCAUCCAAGCAAGGCACAAAGCAAUGUCCUCUUGGCUACGGUAGUUCGUUGAACUUGCCUUCUUGAUGCUUGUUUGUGUCUCCACAAGAUCACCGACCUCCUCAACUUGGGAUCAUCCUCCCUCGCACGACCAUGGACAUCUUUAUGUCAUCGAGGCAAAGUAUGUGUGAUUCAUCCAACUGAUACAUGAAACUUGCAUCAUCAUAUUCAUCCACGCUACAAUCACCAAGAACAAACACAUCACACGAUCAUCACCGCAUUGCAUCACCAAAAUCCCUAGCUAAAAAAUGAAAAAUGCUUUUGUUCCUUUCAGGCAUUGCGUUAGACACUUGGUGGGCAUGAUCCUCGUCGACAGUUGCGAUGGUCGUAGGUGGCAGCGGAUAAGGUGAUGGAGUGGCCGAAGAUGGAGGAGAAGACGUCGGAGUCGGCGAACGUGGAGAAGGCGUCAAAGUGGGUGACUUAUUCCUCUUCUUCGUUGUUGCCUCGUUGUGGGCCUUGGCCACCAGCGCUGGUUUUCUCGUUUGCUUGCUGUCGGUAGGAGAAACUGGUGGGCGGGUGGUCGUCUUCAUGGAUGACACGGCCUUGCCGCCGGCCUUCGUGGACAGCGCGACAGAGCGCACGAUGGUCUUCAUCCCGAGCCACUUCCUUGCCAUGGGCGGCGGAGGCAGUCAGUGUUUUAACUCCCGUCAAAAUCGGGUCCUCCGAUGGCUGCGGUGGUGACAUUCGGCAGCAGAGGCAGGAAGAGGGGCAUCAUGGGGGGAGAGAGGAGGGAAUAUUUUGCUAAGAAGUGGUGGCAGAUGCUCAAAAUUGAGAGAGUGGGGGAGGUUUUUUGGCUUACCUUUUAGGAGUUAAUAGUUUGAGGAGUUCGGUUAGGUGCGGCUUAACUCCUCAAAACAGAAUCUUUCAAGGAGUUAGCCGUUUUUGAGAGUUUGGCUAGAGAUGCUCUAACAACCUAAAGUUGUCUAAAGCUUCAAAUUAAACCAUUUACUAGAAAGGAAAAAGGGGUAGGAGCUGAGCGCCUAAGCCAUUCCUCUCAAGAUGUUGCUCUCUAUUGUACGGUUGUACAAUUACUCUGAAGUGGUAAGUUGAUGAUAUGACUUUAGGGGAGAUCAAGCUUUGUGUAGUGUUACUUUGUCUAUAGCUCUUGCAUACAGUGCAAGAAACCCAACGGGAACAAGCUCUUGAGAUUGUCUGAGUUGUUACUCUCUUAGAUCCGUUCCAUUUUAUUGUGUUCUUUGGAGACGCUUGUGAGUUUUUUUUCUUUUGGCGUUGAGAUGCUUGUGAGUUCAUUAUGAGUUUCUAGACCGGU